This 460-nucleotide ribosomal RNA is filed under the name uncultured bacterium. RNAcentral describes it as "partial 16S ribosomal RNA". It matches the Rfam family "Bacterial small subunit ribosomal RNA", at positions 338 to 795 of the family's 1533-position model. The record is from RNAcentral.
CCUACGGGUGGCAGCAGUGAGGAAUAUUGGUCAAUGGACGAGAGUCUGAACCAGCCAAGUAGCGUGAAGGAUGACUGCCCUAUGGGUUGUAAACUUCUUUUAUAUGGGAAUAAAAUGUUCCACGUGUGGGAUUUUGUAUGUACCAUAUGAAUAAGGGUCGGCUAACUCCGUGCCAGCAGCCGCGGUAAUACGGAGGAUCCGAGCGUUAUCCGGAUUUAUUGGGUUUAAAGGGAGCGUAGGUGGAUUGUUAAGUCAGUUGUGAAAGUUUGCGGCUCAACCGUAAAAUUGCAGUUGAAACUGGCAGUCUUGAGUACAGUAGAGGUGGGCGGAAUUCGUGGUGUAGCGGUGAAAUGCUUAGAUAUCACGAAGAACUCCGAUUGCGAAGGCAGUUCACUGGACUGCAACUGACACUGAGGCUCGAAAGUGUGGGUAUCAAACAGGAUUAGAUACCCGAGUAGUC